Molecule: long non-coding RNA, 653 nt
Filed under: Vigna radiata
Lineage: Eukaryota; Viridiplantae; Streptophyta; Magnoliopsida; Fabales; Fabaceae
Description: long non-coding RNA (VRAD_LNC001755)
Source: RNAcentral
GAAAAGCUAGAUUAAUUGGUGGAAAGUUGUUCAAACGGUAGAAAAUGGAAAGUAAUCGGUGAAAUUUGAAGGAAAGUGGAAAAAUGAGGAGGAAACCUUAGGUUUGAGGUUCUGUGAUGGUGAAGAAGUGAAGAAAAUGGAAGAAGAAUGGCUUCCGAUGAGGGACAGAGGCUGGCGACGAGGAGCUCAAGAGAGAAAUCUAAGCUCUCUGAUGUGAAACGCGAAGGAUGAAAAUGUGAAAUGAAGAUGAAAUGUGGCUGAGGUGCAAAAUGAUGAAGGUUGACGCUGAUGUGAAGGAAGACGCGUGGCUAGGAAACACUGACUGAUAUGAAGUGGUGUCAGCGAAGGGGUGGACCAUGGAGGAUAAGUGAGAGAGCACGGUGGAGAAUUGGAAAAGUGGAAAAUGAAAAUAGGAAGUGUGCUUUGGAAGGUAGCUAGAGGUCUUUGGACUCUCGAACCUUGUGACUUUCAAGAGAGAAUAAUUUUCUUAAUUAGAAAAGUUUAUUCUCAUCAAUCUCAAAAGUACCAAAUACAAGUGAGGAGUUGGGUAUUUAUAGUGACCCAUGCUCCUUGCAAGCUAAACUACUCGUACAAUAAAAUGUAAAAAUACGACUAAGAGAACUGUGUCAAGAAUGAUUCCAACAAUAUCCCUC